RNAcentral lists this long non-coding RNA (353 nucleotides) under Mytilus galloprovincialis (Mediterranean mussel). Lineage: Eukaryota; Metazoa; Mollusca; Bivalvia; Mytilida; Mytilidae. The record is from RNAcentral.
CCUUAUACCAUGUUCUCAAAUCUAGAUAUCAUCUCCCAUUUAGAAAAAAAAACACAUGUGAAAAAUGAACCUAUUAUGUGUUGCUCUCCUAGCUACAAAAUGUAUUCAAAAUCAAAGAUGUAGAACAUAUUCUAUCAUAAUCAUUUGGUAACUAAUGUAAUGAUUACUGUCUCCUCCAUGCCUGUCUUGAACAUAAAAAAAAUAUUAAAUAAAUAACACUCCUAAUUCUCAGUUCUGUUGUCACCGUGCAAGACAGUUAAUAACACCAUAUAGAAAAAAAACAUAGAACUUCUUUUGUCAUAAGACACUGUCAAACAUCCAAACAUACUAUCCACACUCAUCUUUGUCCACGC